CAGUCGCCACGGUAAUACAGAGGGUGCAAGCGUUAAUCGGAAUUACUGGGCGUAAAGCGUGCGUAGGCGGUUUCAUAAGUCGGGUGUGAAAGCCCCGGGCUCAACCUGGGAAUUGCAUUCGAGACUGUGAAGCUAGGGUGCGGAAGAGGGAAGCGGAAAUUCCGGUGUAGCGGUGAAAUGCGUAGAUAUCGGAAGGAACAUCAGUGGCGAAAGCGGCUUCCUGGUCCGGCGCCGACGCUCAGGCACGAAAGCGUGGGGAGCAAACAGGAUUAGAUACCCCGGUAGUCCCUGUCUCUUAUAC
RNAcentral lists this ribosomal RNA (301 nucleotides) under uncultured bacterium. RNAcentral describes it as "partial 16S ribosomal RNA". It matches the Rfam family "Bacterial small subunit ribosomal RNA", at positions 509 to 807 of the family's 1533-position model. The record is from RNAcentral.